GACGAACGCUGGCGGCGUGCUUAACACAUGCAAGUCGAACGAUGAAGCCCAGCUUGCUGGGUGGAUUAGUGGCGAACGGGUGAGUAACACGUGAGUAACCUGCCCUUGAUUCUGGGAUAAGCCUGGGAAACUGGGUCUAAUACUGGAUAUGACUUCUCAUCGCAUGGUGGGGGGUGGAAAGAUUUAUUGGUCUUGGAUGGACUCGCGGCCUAUCAGCUUGUUGGUGGGGUAAUGGCUCACCAAGGCGACGACGGGUAGCCGGCCUGAGAGGGUGACCGGCCACACUGGGACUGAGACACGGCCCAGACUCCUACGGGAGGCAGCAGUGGGGAAUAUUGCACAAUGGGCGCAAGCCUGAUGCAGCGACGCCGCGUGAGGGAUGACGGCCUUCGGGUUGUAAACCUCUUUCAGUAGGGAAGAAGCGAGAGUGACGGUACCUGCAGAAGAAGCGCCGGCUAACUACGUG
RNAcentral lists this ribosomal RNA (466 nucleotides) under uncultured bacterium. RNAcentral's name for it is "partial 16S ribosomal RNA". It matches the Rfam family "Bacterial small subunit ribosomal RNA", at positions 28 to 507 of the family's 1533-position model. The record is from RNAcentral.